RNAcentral lists this transfer RNA (83 nucleotides) under Hepatoplasma crinochetorum (SeqCode). RNAcentral describes it as "Candidatus Hepatoplasma crinochetorum tRNA-Leu". It matches the Rfam family "tRNA". Rfam says of the family: Transfer RNA (tRNA) molecules are approximately 80 nucleotides in length. Lineage: Bacteria; Bacillati; Mycoplasmatota; Mollicutes; Mycoplasmatales; Hepatoplasmataceae (SeqCode). RNAcentral also lists the same sequence under 1 other name. The record is from RNAcentral.
GCCCGAAUGGUGGAAUGGUAGACACGAAGGAUUCAAAACCCUUUAGCUUUGCUGUGUGGGUUCAAGUCCCACUUCGGGCACCA